UACGGAGGGGGCUAGCGUUGUUCGGAAUUACUGGGCGUAAAGCGCGCGUAGGCGGACCUGCAAGUCGGGGGUGAAAGCCCGAGGCUCAACCUCGGAACUGCCUUCGAUACUGCGGGUCUCGAGUCCGGGAGAGGUGAGUGGAAUUCCUAGUGUAGAGGUGAAAUUCGUAGAUAUUAGGAAGAACACCAGUGGCGAAGGCGGCUCACUGGCCCGGUACUGACGCUGAGGCGCGCAAGCGUGGGGAGCAAACAGG
This 253-nucleotide ribosomal RNA is filed under the name uncultured bacterium. RNAcentral describes it as "partial 16S ribosomal RNA". It matches the Rfam family "Bacterial small subunit ribosomal RNA", at positions 524 to 776 of the family's 1533-position model. The record is from RNAcentral.